Dermacentor silvarum is the source of this 2729-nucleotide long non-coding RNA. RefSeq lists it as uncharacterized. Lineage: Eukaryota; Metazoa; Arthropoda; Arachnida; Ixodida; Ixodidae. The record is from RefSeq and is a predicted model, not a curated record. The transcript has 2 exons.
CACCUUAUCAUUAUCUAAGUUGCACUGUAGUGUUGCUUUUCAGGGCUAUGGCAUUGUUUCCUUGAGUGAAUGGUAAUGCAACAUGAUCAUGAUCUUGCACUUUCGAUGCAAUACCAUUGUCUGGUUACAAGAUCCACAUGUGACAUAUUCAGUUAAAGGUUAUGCAAGUUAAUAUUUCAAGUGCUCCUUUCAUUUGUAAAUAUUGGUCGGUGCAGUCAAGUUAUCAAGUACAUUAUCUGUUACAAAAAAGCUGUUUAAGAAAGUUUCUAAACUUUGGAAGGAAUCGCUGAAUAUCAAUGCACAGAAGACAGUGCACAGCAUAGAGUAUUGCAGUCUGAUAUUAAGCUACUAUUGUUUUGGCAAUUUUGAAAGUCAGUUCAACUUUGUUCAGAAAGCCAUUUUGUUUUAUAAAACCAUUAUGGCACCACCUCCUUUUCUCGCUGCUGAAGUGAGGGUAUUGACCUCCUCUUUUCCAUUACUGAAUAGCUGAUUCCAGUGUCUUAGUUCUAAUUGUGCGUAUAUUUACACAAAAUUAAAUGGAUGUACCUCGCAAGCUUAUCUUGCUCUGAAAUUUUCAUUUUCCUGUCUGGAAUGCAAACUGGUUAUGUCAUUUCCUGUUUGAUAAGCAAUUCCAACUAAUUCAGAAUCGUGCACUGAGAUUGACUUGCUUCCUUUGCAAGACUGUCGUAUUCAGAACGUUCUUGUUAUACAGUCAUCAGUAGGCGUUGUGCCUAGCACAGUAUUUAAAGAGUUCAGAGCAUUGAAGUGUUGAACACUUUUGCAUUGUGUACAAUGAAUGCAAUCCAACAUAAAUGAUUGCUGCAGUUUCAGUAUCACAUAGUCAGGGAUGCCUAGUUACAUACUGUGCAUGGCCCUGGGAAAAAUAGCAGUCAUCAUGUAGCAGGCAGGUGCAGCCUUUCCCAGUGAUCAUUGCUAAUUGGAAACCCAUUGAUGGCAAAGUUGCCAAGUUAACUGUGUCUGCUCUUUUCUCUAUGUCCUGCUGGUCUGCAACACCUCACUCGAUGUCGGGUGACUUAUGAGCAAGCCUCAGACACAGGUGAAAUGCAAACACGCUGUCUUGGACAACUCUUGACCUGAUUGUUAUGGAAUUUAGAGCAGUUGAGAGAGAAAUUUAAGUUCUAUUGACUGUUAUAGUUGAACUUUAAUUUGGGGUCACUGCAAAAAACAAAUUGCCAGAAAGAUAAAAAUUUAAGUGUUCAGUUUUCAACUCUGACUCUGCACCAAAAAUAAAUAUUGUAAUUCUGUAAACUGUAUCUACUAGUGUCCAAAAGCAGACAAAUAUGAUCUAUUCAUUUACCACUCGCACAAAAUCUUAACGUUACCUCGAGCUCCUAUCCAGACGAGUGGUAUAUUUUGGAGUGUUGUUCACAGUAUCGUGACAGUUGUGGGGGGGGGGGGGGCAGUUUGUGUAAAAGAAAUUCAAGGCCUCAAUAAAAAAUAACCUGCUCUGUUCAGCCAGUAGAUGUUAUUUGAAUGCAACAAACCUCAUGAAAAUCGGUUCAUUGGGUGCUGACCAAGAUCAUUUCUAUAUUUUUAUAUAUUUUAAAACUCUAUGGUAAUGCUUUCUCUUAAAGGGACACUAACAUUAAAUCCAUUUAGACUGGUAUACCAAACUUCCGUUAUUUAAAUUAUGUGCUGAAACCUUAGUGAUGGUCUGUGCAGCGUCGCGGAUUUCAAUUCAUUUUUUGUUUUACAUUUCAACCAUUUUAGGCAAGAGAUGUUCUUGAUACUUGUUAGGUUAAGUCUUCUUCCUUCAGAAUUCAGUGUAGUCCUUUACUGGUCAACUAUUAACUAUAUCCGCGCAGAUGUUAUCAAAAUUCAUGAUGUCGCAGGUAGCUGGUGCAAGAAUUUUAGGGUGGCACUGCCACCAAUCCUUUCCUCACUACCAUCUUAUCUGUCUUGCCAAGAUAAGACAUGGUAAGAGCUGCGGCUUUGCUAUUCCAAAAGCAUAAUUUACUGAUACAUCUUAAUAUUCUUUAUUGCCCUUUAAGUAGCAGCCACUGCACAUAGCCCUGGGAAGACAACAUGCAUUGCUUGGCAGGCAGGCGCAGUGUUUCCAGGUAGUCUUCUUUGCCAUUUAGGAACCUUAAGUUAAUUGCGUCCACUAAGACAGCAUGCCCCAUCAGUCCGCCAUAGACCAGCAGGGCAUCAUACUUGAAUUGCUUAAAUUAAGCAUAUUUGAGCCAUACAACAUUGAGGGAGAAAGAUGUCUGCCAUUGAAGUUCAGCUUCAUUAAGUUCAAGCUGGUAAUGUCAAAAUGAGCGCUUGACAUGUAGAUGUGUGCUAAAUGUAUGUGCUGAAUUAUGGGGAAGCUUGCUUAUGCUUUCACAAAAAUGCAAACUCUAUGUGAUGCAAAUACAAGUGCCACCACUAUGCCUUGUCAAUCUUUGCCAUAUAACUAUGCAGCAACACAGCACUUAGCCAACAAUAACAGCAUUCACAUAACCAGUUUCAAAACCUUCCUAUCUUUCCACGCAGUUUUCUUUUUUUCUUAACAUAUACUGUGGUUAUGAGAAAUUGAUACAUCUAGCCAAGUAGAUGUGCAAUACAAAUGUUACUAGCACUCUGAAAGUGUUCCUUUCACAUUUGUAUGCUUUGUAAGUUUACAAAUCCUUGUGUGCCUAAAUAAAAGUGCAAGUACUAUUUUCAGAGUUUGCUUUCUUGAGGUACUGUGACUGGUGAAUAAUAAAAGUGCUUACUUCUGUUUG